AGGGGUAUAGUUCAGCUGGUAGAGCGACAGUCUCCAAAACUGUUUGUCGGGAGUUCGAAUCUCUCUGCCCCUGCCA
Molecule: transfer RNA, 76 nt
Filed under: Oscillospiraceae bacterium
Lineage: Bacteria; Bacillati; Bacillota; Clostridia; Eubacteriales; Oscillospiraceae
Also listed under: 2 other names
Description: tRNA-Trp
Rfam family: tRNA
About the family: Transfer RNA (tRNA) molecules are approximately 80 nucleotides in length. Their secondary structure includes four short double-helical elements and three loops (D, anti-codon, and T loops).
Source: RNAcentral